CCUACGGGAGGCAGCAGUGAGGAAUAUUGGUCAAUGGGCGGGAGCCUGAACCAGCCAAGCCGCGUGAGGGAAGAAGGUACAGCGUAUCGUAAACCUCUUUUGUCAGGGAACAAAGGCGGGGACUAGUCCCCGGAUGAGGGUACCUGAAGAAAAAGCAUCGGCUAACUCCGUGCCAGCAGCCGCGGUAAUACGGAGGAUGCGAGCUUUAUCCGGAUUUAUGGGGUUGAAAGGGUGCGCAGGCGGCCUGUUAAGUCAGCGGUAAAAGCCCGGGGCUCAACCCCGGCGAGCCGUUGAAACUGGCGGGCUGGAGUUGGAGAGAAGUACGCGGAAUGCGCGGUGUAGCGGUGAAAUGCUUAGAUAUCGCGCAGAACCCCGAUUGCGAAGGCAGCGUACCGGCUCCACACUGACGCUGAGGCACGAAAGCGUGGGUAUCGAACAGGAUUAGAUACCCUAGUAGUC
RNAcentral lists this ribosomal RNA (459 nucleotides) under uncultured bacterium. RNAcentral describes it as "partial 16S ribosomal RNA". It matches the Rfam family "Bacterial small subunit ribosomal RNA", at positions 338 to 795 of the family's 1533-position model. The record is from RNAcentral.